This 253-nucleotide ribosomal RNA is filed under the name uncultured bacterium. RNAcentral's name for it is "partial 16S ribosomal RNA". It matches the Rfam family "Bacterial small subunit ribosomal RNA", at positions 524 to 776 of the family's 1533-position model. The record is from RNAcentral.
UACGGAGGGUGCAAGCGUUGUUCGGAAUCACUGGGCGUAAAGAGCACGUAGGUGGGCUAGUAUGUCGAUUGUGAAAGCCCAGAGCUUAACUUUGGAAUUGCAGUCGAAACUGCUAGUCUUGAAUGCCAGAGAGGAUGGCGGAAUUUCCGGUGUAGAGGUGAAAUUCGUAGAUAUCGGAAGGAACACCAGUGGCGAAGGCGGCCGUCUGGACGAUGACUGACACUGAGACGCGAAAGCGUGGGGAGCAAACAGG